UACGUAGGGUGCGAGCGUUGCCCGGAUUUAUUGGGCGUAAAGGGCGCGUAGGCGGCUCGGCACGUCCGUUGUGAAAUCGCCCGGCUCAACUGGGCGGGGUCAGCGGAUACGGUCGAGCUUGAGCAAGCUAGGGGGUAAUGGAAUUCCCGGUGUAGUGGUGGAAUGCGUAGAUAUCGGGAGGAACACCAGUGGCGAAGGCGGGUACCUGGGGCUCUGCUGACGCUGAUGCGCGAAAGCGUGGGGAGCGAUCCGG
Molecule: ribosomal RNA, 253 nt
Filed under: uncultured bacterium
Lineage: Bacteria
Description: partial 16S ribosomal RNA
Rfam family: Bacterial small subunit ribosomal RNA
Source: RNAcentral